GCUCUAUCCAGUUUAGUAAAUAACAGUAUUAACCACACCAACCCUUUAUGCUUUAGGUUUCUCUAGGUAAUUUUAUGUUCCCAUGCUCCCCCUCAAGCGGACAGGACAACGAAGUUCUGCUGGUUUUUUUCCUCUGGAAAUCUAAGAUCUAAGCAUCCUGGUACACAUUGUAGAAGAGGAACCAGCGAAGGAGAAGGAAAACCAGAGACUGCCAAGUAAGAGCUCAGUUGGUAAUGCUGAUAGCCAUCUGAUGUGUUUUUUGAGAGAAUUCAAUGAAUUCAAACAUGAAAUGAACAAGGUGAUUGGAGAGCAGUGGGAGGAGAAGAGAGGAUGAGAAAAGUCCGGGAACGAACAGGAAGAAGACAAAAGAGCCCUUCUCUCUGCACACCAUUUUGUUUGAUUCUUGUCCCUCCUAUGGGUUUGACUCGGUGAAGUUAAGCUUGUAAAAAGCCAAGUUUUCCAAAUUCAAAACAUGGACUCUGCAUCACUGCACAUUAUGGUUUAAUGUACAAUAAGGCCAGGACCUUCUUGGAAACAAUGCUAAUCAAGUGGUUAUGGAUGUUAAUUCUUUUGCAAUAAAAACUGAC
Zalophus californianus (California sea lion) is the source of this 587-nucleotide long non-coding RNA. RefSeq lists it as uncharacterized. The record is from RefSeq and is a predicted model, not a curated record. Lineage: Eukaryota; Metazoa; Chordata; Mammalia; Carnivora; Otariidae. The transcript has 4 exons.